CUUCUAAAGCUAAAUACCGGCCAGAGACCGAUAGCGCACAAGUAGAGUGAUCGAAAGAUGAAAAGCACUUUGAAAAGAGGGUUAAAAAGUACGUGAAAUUGUUGAAAGGGAAGCGUUCAUGACCAGACUUGGGCAGGUUGAUCAUCCGUGGUUCUCCGCGGUGCACUCUGCCUGCCCAGGCCAGCAUCAGUUCGCUCCGGGGGAUAAAGGCUCUGGGAAUGUGGCUCCUUCGGGAGUGUUAUAGCCCACUGCGUAAUACCCUGGGGUGGACUGAGGUUCGCGCUCUGCAAGGAUGCUGGCGUAAUGGUCAUCAACGACCCGUCUUGAAACACGGACCAAGGAGUCGUCUUCGUAUGCGAGUGUUCGGGUGUCAAACCCCUACGCGUAAUGAAAGUGAACGUAGGAGAGAGCUUCGGCGCAUCUCCGACCGAUCCUGAUGUUCUCGGAUGGAUUUGAGUAAGAGCAUACGGGGCCGGACCCGAAAGAAGGUGAACUAUGCCUGUAUAGGGUGAAGCCAGAGGAAACUCUGGUGGAGGCUCGCAGCGGUUCUGACGUGCAAAUCGAUCGUCAAAUAUGGGCAUGGGGGCGAAAGACUAAUCGAACCUUCUAGUAUCCGGUUUCCGCCGA
Molecule: ribosomal RNA, 627 nt
Filed under: Clonostachys rosea
Lineage: Eukaryota; Fungi; Ascomycota; Sordariomycetes; Hypocreales; Bionectriaceae
Description: eukaryotic LSU rRNA
Rfam family: Eukaryotic large subunit ribosomal RNA
Source: RNAcentral